AUACGGGGGGUGCAAGCGUUAUUCGGAUUUAUUGGGCGUAAAGAGCGCGUAGGCGGCUUGGUAAGUCAGAUGUGAAAGCCCGGGGCUCAACCCCGGAAGUGCAUUUGAAACUAUCAGCUUGAGUAUGGGAGAGGGAAGUGGAAUUCCUGGUGUAGAGGUGAAACUCGUAGAUAUCAAGAGGAACACCGGUGGCGAAGGCGACUUCCUGGACCAAUACUGACGCUGAGGCGCGAAGGCGUGGGGAGCAAACAGGAUUAGAAACCCUAGUAGUCC
Molecule: ribosomal RNA, 273 nt
Filed under: uncultured bacterium
Lineage: Bacteria
Description: partial 16S ribosomal RNA
Rfam family: Bacterial small subunit ribosomal RNA
Source: RNAcentral